This is a long non-coding RNA of Pezoporus occidentalis (night parrot), 2461 nucleotides long. RefSeq lists it as uncharacterized. The transcript has 2 exons. Lineage: Eukaryota; Metazoa; Chordata; Aves; Psittaciformes; Psittacidae. The record is from RefSeq and is a predicted model, not a curated record.
UUUUUUAGAGUAUAGCUGUGAUGAUCACAUGCUUCAUAAUCAACUGAGAGUGUGUUACAACAACCUAGAAGCUGAGAUUACAGUGCAAGAGAUUUUUUCUUUGUGAAUACCCCUCACCUAACAAAUGACAGGAUCCUAAGGAGGAGAGAGAAUGCUGAAGAUCAGCAAGAAUCCCAGCUGUUAUAGUGUUGUAUAAUCACCCUCAGUAAAUUUUUGACAUGGAAGCAGUUAGUCUUAUGAAGUACUAGCAAGUUUCUGAAUUGCUGUAGUAGUCCACUGCUAGUUACAAAUUUCUUGUCCUUUAGGCUGGUUGCAAGUCCCUCAUGUUAGGGUCUGCUGCUGCUGAGUCCUCCAAAGUUUUAGUUUGUCUCACAAUGUGUAAGGAUGUUGGCACCACAUUAAGGAGGUUAAUUCUAGUGUUAGUCAGUGUGGUAUCAGUUCAGGUUUCCAAGCAUCCUUCCACGUGUCUGCGGAAUGAUUCAGGUCAUGUUCUGUAGUAACAAUGAGAGGUCACUUUGAGACUUUCUGAAGAGGCUGACUAUCCCUUUGGAAUGGUCAGUCUUCCCAAAUUCCUCUCUCCUAUAUAUUGUACUAGGAGCUAGAGUUGCUUACUUGACAAGCAAGUUCAUGACCCUUGCUCCCCCAGCAGUAGAACUGAACUGGAAGUUACCUGGUGGCUAUCACAGCUUGGCAUUUCUCUCCAUAGCUUUGGCUUUAUCUGGUAUAAAUAUGCAGCUUACAGUGAGGGACAACUCUCUGUAAUCUCUGUUGCAAUAUAAUUAAUGUAGCACUGGAAGCCAUAACUGAAGUUGGAGCUGUUUUGCUAGUUAUUGUGCAAAGAUAUGAGGUCAUGUAGCAAAUUACUGUCAGACUUAAGCAUGAAUCCCAUAUCACUGCAGUGUUGGUUAACAUUCUGUGUGCUGCAACACUUAAGAGGUAGUUUAAGAAAAACACCAUAAAAGCUGGCUGGGAUGUUUUGUAGCAGUCAGUGAAGUGCACUCACAACUAUGUGAGUGCUUUGGACAUCUCUUCUUACAGCUACCUAGAUCCACACCUUCCUUUAUAGGAAGUAUUUGUUGGCUCACUGUAAUACCCAUAGAGUAUCACAGAAGCACAAUACUAUCCAUUACAUGAAGGCUUGCUUGCUUAAUCUGUCUCAAAGGGCUGAGUGUCCUGGGUACUAGCACUUAAAUUGUCAUACUCCAUUAGCCAUUGUAACAGCACCUGGCUAUCUCAGUGUGUUCUGCUGACUGUAAAUUGACAUUGGACAACAGCUUCAGGAUUGCUCUUUCAAAGCAUUGAAAUGUCUGUUUCAAAUAUUUGAUCACUCUAAUGCACCUGCUGAAGUGGAGAGUACGUGCCAAGUCCUUCUGUUGCAGGAUUCAAUAUUGUAUAAUGCCUUAUAUGGAAGAGACUUUAAAUAUUCUUGUUUCUGUUACUUGGAAGUGACGUGGAAAAACUGAAGUACAUUUGUGAAUGUUGAUAAUUUCAUGAGAAAUUUUGACUAAAUGUUAUGAAACUCAUGAAACUGAUACAGAUCACGUGCUUUUGUUCUGGCUUUUGAUUUCUCCAUGUACAUGAUUUUAAGUUAUUUGUCUUUUAUGGUAUUUCUAAAUGCUUAUGGGACUUUCAGGAUUGCAUAAGUUUAGGACAAAUCAUCCAGCAUAUUGCAAAACAGCAUUCAAAUCCCAAAUAAGGAAUCCUUCUAAAAUAACAGCAACUUUUUCUCCUUAAAGUAGACAAGCAAGCAAGCACCCUGUUGUUCCUCACCUGUUCCAGUGUCUAAUUUCAAAUCCCUAAAUGAGUUAAAUAGGUUUGGUCUAGACAUCUCUUUUGUGUAUUACAAAAUAAAAUAGGGAGGUGUUUUCUGUUUACCUUAAGCCUGUCUUAUGUGCCAUAGAAAGGCAACUAAAUCUACAAAGAUAGCUAGGUUUAGCUAUCUGAUCUCCCUCUUAUGUGAUCCACAGUGUUGAAUAGUAGGAGACCUGGAGAAUUCUCCAUGAACUGCAUGGUAACUGCCAGCAAUAACAAUCAGUAGCCUGGCAAAUCAUUUAAUUCAUUCUUAAGAUCUGAAUGCUUCCCCUAGAAGCACUCUAUUCAUUAAGCUGGACCACAGAAAUCAUUUUUACCAACUAGAAGGUUAUACUCAUUGAACAACAUCGGUAAGUAAUGCACUGAAGGACUGUUUCCAGCUUAGAGCAGGUUUUUGGUUUGAUUUGGUUUGUUUGUUGUUGGGUUUUGUUUGGUUUUUCUUCCUUUCUGAAUAACUGGUUUUUAUGUCUGGCUGACUUUACUUUCAGGUAACAGUGGUGUUAAAACAUAGAUGAAUAUGUUGAUAUGUCAUCUAAUUCUGAUAAUCUUUACCCAGUUACAUACUGUUAACUGUAAAUGCUUAAGUAACAUCAGUUCUGUAAAAAUAAGGAGUAUCUAUGCUUAUAUACCUGUAAUAAAAAUCUCUAUA